Molecule: ribosomal RNA, 257 nt
Filed under: uncultured bacterium
Lineage: Bacteria
Description: partial 16S ribosomal RNA
Rfam family: Bacterial small subunit ribosomal RNA
Source: RNAcentral
UACGUAGGGUGCGAGCGUUAAUCGGAAUUACUGGGCGUAAAGCGUGCGCAGGCUGUUCUGUAAGUCAGAUGUGAAAUCCCCGAGCUCAACUUGGGAACUGCGUUUGAAACUACAGAACUAGAAUAUGUCAGAGGGGGGUAGAAUUCCACGUGAUAGCAGUGAAAUGCGUGGAGAUGUGGAGGAAUACCAAUGGCGAAGGCAGCCCCCUGGGAUAAUAUUGACGCUCCAUGCACGAAAGGCGUGGGGAGCAAACAAGG